Nematostella vectensis (starlet sea anemone) is the source of this 77-nucleotide non-coding RNA. NCBI's taxonomy places the organism in Eukaryota, Metazoa, Cnidaria, Anthozoa, Actiniaria, Edwardsiidae. The record is from the annotation of a RefSeq genome assembly.
GUCAGGAUGGCCUAGCGGUCAAAGGCGCCAGACUCAAGCUCCGAAUGGAGGCGUGGGUUCGAAUCCCACUUCUGACA